UCAGGCCAGCCUCUCUCUCCACCCCACCCCCUCUUUCUGGCGUCCAUCCCCUCCCCAACUCCACCUCUGCUGCUGCCUCUGGCUGUGGACCUGCACCUCUUCCCCAUCCCCGACAGGCCUGGGGAUCGAGACCAGCCCGGCUGUAUCCACGGCAACAGAAGCAGGAAUGUCACUGGCUGCCAGCUCACGGAGGGUCCCACAAUGUGGCCUGGGCUGUGAUUUAUCCUGAGUGAGACAGCUUGAGCCCCCUCCCUCGAUUCCAAGACAGCCCUGCUGAGAGAGCCAAGGUGCAGCCCAGCAGGACAACUGAUGGAGUCCCCCGGGGCCCAUCGAGCACCGGACUGGCUGACCCCAUAGGGUUGGGAGCAGCCCCUGCCCCUCAGU
Long non-coding RNA from Lagenorhynchus albirostris (white-beaked dolphin), 384 nucleotides. RefSeq lists it as uncharacterized. The record is from RefSeq and is a predicted model, not a curated record. NCBI's taxonomy places the organism in Eukaryota, Metazoa, Chordata, Mammalia, Artiodactyla, Delphinidae. The transcript is spliced from 3 exons.